AUGGGCGCGUGGUCUAGUACGUUUUCGGUGAUGCAUUGGAACAACACACCGGCUGCAAUGGUCAACAUGGGAGGAGGAUGCACUUGCUUCCACUGGCGUGAAUCCGACAGCUCGCAAGGCGGCUUAUCUUUGGCAGUUAUCAACCAGAUGAUUGCUAGCAGCCGCCACACACACACACACACACACACACACACACACACACACACACACACACACACACACACACAACGCACCACACAAGAGAGGGAGAGCUCCUAUUUGACACACAACGCACAACCCCCGCUCCCCCAGCGCGCUCUUCUGGGCCUGCUCAUACGUCCUGGAUCUCCCGCCGUAGACGAGUGGCCGGCCGGCCGCCUGUCUGCCUUGGCGCCGGAGACGGGAGCGGAGCACCGCCGGCGACCCGGAGGAGGAGGUCGCGCGCAUCUUCCUCAGCGUUGCCGUCGUCCCGGCGCCACUGAGGCACGCGCCGCGGAGCCUGAGGAAGCGCCGGCCGAAACAUUUAGUAGUAUCAUGCAUUCCUCUGUUCUUGCUCUGAUUGGUAAAAUUCAGACUUCUUUUCAUCAACGGGUGCAAAUUGCUUCAAACACCGGAGAAUAUGUUAAUUUGACAGAAGAGCUUCUCUGGAACUGUGCAACUAUUGAGUGGCAGAUAGGAGAUAUAUAUGCUCAAAAGCAAUGGAAACUUGUAAUCAGCAUCAGAAGAGAUGGACAAAGAGCAUAUGAAGAAGGCUAUCCUGGAGCAAGAACAAGCAUUCAGAUAACAGUUUGCCAUGAUGAUUUUAUGGCAUGUGGAAGCUUAACGUUGUCAGUUGACUCCUUUCUUGCAUCGGUCCUUGGGCUGUCAUUCCUUUUCGUUGUGGCCUAUGUUGAACACGAUGUUGGUGCCACAUGUCCAUUCGUUUAUAUGUAA
Molecule: ribosomal RNA, 912 nt
Filed under: Triticum aestivum (bread wheat)
Lineage: Eukaryota; Viridiplantae; Streptophyta; Magnoliopsida; Poales; Poaceae
Description: partial small subunit ribosomal RNA
Source: RNAcentral